AUUGAACGCUGGCGGCAUGCCUUACACAUGCAAGUCGAACGGUAACAGGUUAAGCUGACGAGUGGCGAACGGGUGAGUAAUGUAUCGGAACGUGCCCAGUCGUGGGGGAUAACUGCUCGAAAGAGCAGCUAAUACCGCAUACGACCUGAGGGUGAAAGCGGGGGAUCGCAAGACCUCGCGCGAUUGGAGCGGCCGAUAUCAGAUUAGGUAGUUGGUGAGGUAAAGGCUCACCAAGCCGACGAUCUGUAGCUGGUCUGAGAGGACGACCAGCCACACUGGGACUGAGACACGGCCCAGACUCCUACGGGAGGCAGCAGUGGGGAAUUUUGGACAAUGGGCGCAAGCCUGAUCCAGCCAUGCCGCGUGCGGGAAGAAGGCCUUCGGGUUGUAAACCGCUUUUGUCAGGGAAGAAAAGGUUCUGGCUAAUACCUGGGGCUCAUGACGGUACCUGAAGAAUAAGCACCGGCUAACUACGUG
This 477-nucleotide ribosomal RNA is filed under the name uncultured bacterium. Its description in RNAcentral is "partial 16S ribosomal RNA". It matches the Rfam family "Bacterial small subunit ribosomal RNA", at positions 30 to 507 of the family's 1533-position model. The record is from RNAcentral.